CCUACGGGAGGCAGCAGUAGGGAAUCUUGGACAAUGGGCGCAAGCCUGAUCCAGCCAUGCCGCGUGAGUGAAGAAGGCCUUAGGGUCGUAAAGCUCUUUCGCCUGUGAUGAUAAUGACAGUAGCAGGUAAAGAAACCCCGGCUAACUCCGUGCCAGCAGCCGCGGUAAUACGGAGGGGGUUAGCGUUGUUCGGAAUUACUGGGCGUAAAGCGCGCGUAGGCGGAUUAGACAGUUGAGGGUGAAAUCCCGGAGCUUAACUCCGGAACUGCCUUCAAUACUACUAAUCUUGAGUUCGGAAGAGGUGAGUGGAAUUCCUAGUGUAGAGGUGAAAUCCGUAGAUAUUAGGAAGAACAUCAGUGGCGAAGGCGACUCACUGGUCCGAUACUGACGCUAAGGUGCGAAAGCGUGGGGAGCAAACAGGAUUAGAUACCCUGGUAGUCCACGCCGUAAACGAUGGAAGCUAGUUGUUGGGCGGCAUGCCGUUCGGUGACACAGCUAACGCAUUAAGCUUCCCGCCUGGGGAGUACGAUCGCAAGAUUAAAACUCAAAUGAAUUGACGG
Molecule: ribosomal RNA, 560 nt
Filed under: uncultured bacterium
Lineage: Bacteria
Description: bacterial SSU rRNA
Rfam family: Bacterial small subunit ribosomal RNA
Source: RNAcentral